This 205-nucleotide ribosomal RNA is filed under the name uncultured bacterium. RNAcentral's name for it is "partial 16S ribosomal RNA". It matches the Rfam family "Bacterial small subunit ribosomal RNA", at positions 568 to 774 of the family's 1533-position model. The record is from RNAcentral.
UCCGUAGGCGGUGUGGUAAGUCGGGAGUGAAAUCUUUGGGCUUAACCCAGAGGCUGCUUCCGAAACUGCCGUGCUAGAGUGUGAGAGAGGCGAGUGGAAUUACGGGUGUAGCGGUGAAAUGCGUAGAUAUCCGUAGGAACAUCCGAGGCGAAGGCGGCUCGCUGGAUCACAACUGACGCUGAGGGACGAAAGUGGGAGGCGAACA